CAUUUAUUAUGUAAAUGAAGGAGUGAAAUCCUAAAUUUAUGUUAUAAAAUUAAAAUAUAAUCAAAUCAUAUAAGAUUUAAACUAGGAUUAGAUACCCUAUUAUUCUUGUAAUCAUCUAAAGUAGUAAAUUUUAAACUUAAAAUUUUGACGGUAUUUAAUUUUUUAGAGGAAUAUGUAAUUUAAUCGUCAAUACACGUUAAUUUUACUUAUUUUAUUUUUGUAUACCACCGUUAAUAGAUUUUAUUAUAUAUUUAAAUAAAUUUCUAAAUAAAUUAAUUUUAUUAUAUCAGGUCAAGGUGCAAAACAAAUAAGUUAUUAUGUAUUACAUUCAAAUAUAUUGUAAUGGAAAAUUAUUGAAAAUUUUAUUUGAAAUUGAAUCUACAAGUAUAAUAAUAAUAAAGUAUUAUUUGAAAUAAUAUUAAAUAUGU
RNAcentral lists this ribosomal RNA (428 nucleotides) under Euperipatoides kanangrensis. RNAcentral describes it as "partial 12S ribosomal RNA". Lineage: Eukaryota; Metazoa; Onychophora; Udeonychophora; Euonychophora; Peripatopsidae. The record is from RNAcentral.